AACGAACGCUGGCGGCAUGCCUAACCCAUGCAAGUCGAACGGGAUCCAGGCUUCGGCCUGGUGAGAGUGGCGGACGGGUGAGUAACACGUGGGAACCUGCCUUUUGGUUCGGGAUAACCGCGGGAAACUGCGGCUAAUACCGGAUGCUCCCGAGAGGGGAAAGAUUUAUCGCCAGAAGAGGGGCCCGCGUCCGAUUAGGUAGUUGGUGAGGUAAUGGCUCACCAAGCCGACGAUCGGUAGCUGGUCUGAGAGGAUGAUCAGCCACACUGGGACUGAGAUACGGCCCAGACUCCUACGGGAGGCAGCAGUGGGGAAUAUUGCGCAAUGGGCGAAAGCCUGACGCAGCCAUGCCGCGUGAAUGAUGAAGGUCUUAGGGAUUGUAAAAUUCUUUCACCGGGGACGAUAAUGACGGUACCCGGAGAAGAAGCCCCGGGCUAACUUCGUGCCAGCAGCCGCGGUAAU
Molecule: ribosomal RNA, 462 nt
Filed under: uncultured bacterium
Lineage: Bacteria
Description: bacterial SSU rRNA
Rfam family: Bacterial small subunit ribosomal RNA
Source: RNAcentral